This 254-nucleotide ribosomal RNA is filed under the name uncultured bacterium. RNAcentral describes it as "partial 16S ribosomal RNA". It matches the Rfam family "Bacterial small subunit ribosomal RNA", at positions 524 to 776 of the family's 1533-position model. The record is from RNAcentral.
UACAGAGGUGCCAAGCGUUUAGGCGGAAUCACUGGGCUUAAAGCGCGUGUAGGUGGACGGGUAAGUAUCUUGUGAAAUCCCACGGCUCAACCGUGGAACUGCUGGAUAUACUGCUUGUCUUGAGGCACUUAGGGGCAGCUGGAACAAAUGGUGGAGCGGUGAAAUGCGUAGAUAUCAUUUGGAACGCCCAAAGGCGAAAGCAGGCUGCUGGGAGUGAUCUGACACUGAGACGCGAAAGCCAGGGAGCAAACGGG